AUUCAGUUUCGAUUACCGUAAAAUGAUCGGAGGAAUGUAGCUUCGAUCUCGUAUUGAAGUGUUAUAGCCUCUGGUAGAUGCGGUAAUUGAAACUGAGGAUUGCAACGAAUACCCUCUGGGCUAUCCGUCUGAUCUCUGAAAGUUGCUUAGGUGCUGAAAGCGUGCUUACGGUAUUUAAGUUGACGGUCAACAGGUUAGAACGUGAUUACAUUCGUUAAGGAUGUUGACGUAA
Molecule: ribosomal RNA, 232 nt
Filed under: uncultured fungus
Lineage: Eukaryota; Fungi
Description: partial 28S ribosomal RNA
Source: RNAcentral